AGACCCACGGUGCGCACGCGCCUCUCUUCGUCUGAGUAGGAGUAUGUGGGCGUGACCAGGGGUGGGUCCUGGGGAAUGGGCGUGUCCUCAGCGCAGUCACGCCCUUCCCAAGCUCUCCUGGUUGUACUUUCAGCUGAGGGCGCUGCGGUGGCCUGGCUCGGUUGAGUCUUAGAGUCGUCGGCUUUGCGAGGUGCGCUAUUUGUCCCGAGGGCAGAGAGAAUUCGCUUGGUCUCAUCCGGGACUUGCUGAGCAUCACGACGCCAGGCAUUCCUGUUGCCGGGUGUUGUACGGUCCCGGGAUGUGGGCGGAGCUGGCCGCAGGUCUGGUCCUGCAGGACAGAGCCAGAGGACAGAGCACUGGCCUCCAGGAGUGGGGAUGGAUGCAGGACCUGAAGGUGCUCUCCGUUCCGUGUAGGGCUCUAGCGCUGGAGCAGCGAGCAGCUUAGGAGUCAGAGGACCAGGUGCCCCACGGAGCUCUGAGCUUUCCUGAAAAUACUUAGGACUUGUGUCCAAUCGUGGAGAGAUCUUUAAAGUCCGGGAGUACCUUGGGAGCUGGAGAGAGGGCUCAGCGGUUAAGAGCACUGACUGCUCUUCCAGAGGUCUUGAGUUCAAUUCUCAGCAACCACAUGGUGGCUCAUAACCAUCCCAUACCCUCUUCUGAUGUGUCUGGAGAAAGUGAUAGUGUACUCACAUACAUAAAAUAAAUAAUUAAAAAAAAAAAAAAAAAA
Molecule: long non-coding RNA, 727 nt
Filed under: Mus musculus (house mouse)
Lineage: Eukaryota; Metazoa; Chordata; Mammalia; Rodentia; Muridae
Description: predicted gene 10941 (Gm10941)
Source: RNAcentral